GAUGAACGCUGGCGGCGUGCCUAAUACAUGCAAGUCGAGCGAACGGACGAGAAGCUUGCUUCUCUGAUGUUAGCGGCGGACGGGUGAGUAACACGUGGAUAACCUACCUAUAAGACUGGGAUAACUUCGGGAAACCGGAGCUAAUACCGGAUAAUAUUUUGAACCGCAUGGUUCAAAAGUGAAAGACGGUCUUGCUGUCACUUAUAGAUGGAUCCGCGCUGCAUUAGCUAGUUGGUAAGGUAACGGCUUACCAAGGCAACGAUGCAUAGCCGACCUGAGAGGGUGAUCGGCCACACUGAAACUGAGACACGGUCCAGACUCCUACGGGAGGCAGCAGUAGGGAAGCUUCCGAAAUGGGCGAAAGCCUGACGGAGCAACGCCGCGUGAGUGAUGAAGGUCUUCGGAUCGUAAAACUCUGUUAUUAGGGAAGAACAUAUGUGUAAGUAACUGUGCACAUCUUGACGGUACCUAAUCAGAAAGCCACGGCUAACUACGUG
Molecule: ribosomal RNA, 497 nt
Filed under: uncultured bacterium
Lineage: Bacteria
Description: partial 16S ribosomal RNA
Rfam family: Bacterial small subunit ribosomal RNA
Source: RNAcentral